RNAcentral lists this ribosomal RNA (1623 nucleotides) under Erwinia amylovora. Its description in RNAcentral is "bacterial LSU rRNA". It matches the Rfam family "Bacterial large subunit ribosomal RNA", at positions 1223 to 2826 of the family's 2925-position model. The record is from RNAcentral. Lineage: Bacteria; Pseudomonadati; Pseudomonadota; Gammaproteobacteria; Enterobacterales; Erwiniaceae.
GUUGGGUAGGGGAGCGUUCUGUAAGCCGUCGAAGGUGUGCUGUGAGGCAUGCUGGAGGUAUCAGAAGUGCGAAUGCUGACAUAAGUAACGAUAAAGCGGGUGAAAAGCCCGCUCGCCGGAAGACCAAGGGUUCCUGUCCAACGUUAAUCGGGGCAGGGUGAGUCGACCCCUAAGGCGAGGCCGAAAGGCGUAGUCGAUGGGAAACGGGUUAAUAUUCCCGUACUGGGUGUUACUGCGAAGGGGGGACGGAGAAGGCUAUGUUAGCCGGGCGACGGUUGUCCCGGUUUAAGCGUGCAGGCUUGAGUUCCAGGCAAAUCCGGAACUCUUUAAGGCUGAGGCGUGAUGACGAGGCACCACGGUGCUGAAGUAACAAAUGCCCUGCUUCCAGGAAAAGCCUCUAAGCAUCAGGUAACAUCCAAUCGUACCCCAAACCGACACAGGUGGUCAGGUAGAGAAUACCAAGGCGCUUGAGAGAACUCGGGUGAAGGAACUAGGCAAAAUGGUGCCGUAACUUCGGGAGAAGGCACGCUGGCGCGUAGGUGAAGCGACUUGCUCGUGGAGCUGAAGCCAGUCGAAGAUACCAGCUGGCUGCAACUGUUUAUUAAAAACACAGCACUGUGCAAACACGAAAGUGGACGUAUACGGUGUGACGCCUGCCCGGUGCCGGAAGGUUAAUUGAUGGGGUUAUCCGUAAGGAGAAGCUCUUGAUCGAAGCCCCGGUAAACGGCGGCCGUAACUAUAACGGUCCUAAGGUAGCGAAAUUCCUUGUCGGGUAAGUUCCGACCUGCACGAAUGGCGUAAUGAUGGCCAGGCUGUCUCCACCCGAGACUCAGUGAAAUUGAACUCGCUGUGAAGAUGCAGUGUACCCGCGGCAAGACGGAAAGACCCCGUGAACCUUUACUACAGCUUGACACUGAACAUUGAGCCUUGAUGUGUAGGAUAGGUGGGAGGCUUUGAAGCGUGGACGCCAGUCUGCGUGGAGCCAACCUUGAAAUACCACCCUUUAACGUUUGAUGUUCUAACCUGGCGCCGUUACCCGGCGUGGGGACAGUGUCUGGUGGGUAGUUUGACUGGGGCGGUCUCCUCCCAAAGAGUAACGGAGGAGCACGAAGGUCAGCUAAUCACGGUCGGACAUCGUGAGGUUAGUGCAAUGGCAUAAGCUGGCUUGACUGCGAGAGUGACGGCUCGAGCAGGUGCGAAAGCAGGUCAUAGUGAUCCGGUGGUUCUGAAUGGAAGGGCCAUCGCUCAACGGAUAAAAGGUACUCCGGGGAUAACAGGCUGAUACCGCCCAAGAGUUCAUAUCGACGGCGGUGUUUGGCACCUCGAUGUCGGCUCAUCACAUCCUGGGGCUGAAGUAGGUCCCAAGGGUACGGCUGUUCGCCGUUUAAAGUGGUACGCGAGCUGGGUUUAGAACGUCGUGAGACAGUUCGGUCCCUAUCUGCCGUGGGCGCUGGAAGAUUGAGAGGGGUUGCUCCUAGUACGAGAGGACCGGAGUGAACGCACCGCUGGUGUUCGGGUUGUCAUGCCAAUGGCAUUGCCCGGUAGCUAAGUGCGGAAAAGAUAAGCGCUGAAAGCAUCUAAGCGCGAAACUUGCCUCGAGAUGAAUCUUCCCUGACUCCUUGA